UAGCAUAUCAAUAAGCGGAGGAAAAGAAACCAACAGGGAUUGGCCUUUAGUAACGGCGAGUGAAGCGGCAACAGCUCAAAUUUGAAAGCUGGCUCCUUCGGAGUCCGCGUUGUAAUUUGUAGAGGAUGAUUCGGCGAGGGCUCCCGCCUAAGUCCCCUGGAACGGGGCGUCAUAGAGGGUGAGAAUCCCGUAUGCGGUGGGUUGCCUUAGCCAUGUGAAUCUCCUUCGACGAGUCGAGUUGUUUGGGAAUGCAGCUCUAAAUGGGAGGUAAAUUUCUUCUAAAGCUAAAUACCGGCCAGAGACCGAUAGCGCACAAGUAGAGUGAUCGAAAGAUGAAAAGCACUUUGGAAAGAGAGUUAAAAAGUACGUGAAAUUGUUGAAAGGGAAGCGCUUGCAGCCAGACUUGUCCGCAGUUGCUCAACCGGUCUCCUGACCGGUGUACUCUUCUGCGGCCAGGCCAGCAUCAGUUCGGGCGGUCGGAUAAAGGCCCUGGGAAUGUAGCUCCUCUCGGGGAGUGUUAUAGCCCAGGGUGGAAUGCGGCCAGCCUGGACUGAGGAUCUCGCUUCGGCUAGGAUGCUGGCGUAAUGGCUGUAAGCGGCCCGUCUUGAAACACGGACCAAGGAGUCUAACAUCUAUGCGAGUGUUUGGGUGUCAAACCCAUGCGCGUAAUGAAAGUGAACGGAGGUGGGAACCCUCACGGGUGCACCAUCGACCGAUCCUGAUGUCUUCGGAUGGAUUUGAGUAAGAGCAUAGCUGUUGGGACCCGAAAGAUGGUGAACUAUGCCUGAAUAGGGUGAAGCCAGAGGAAACUCUGGUGGAGGCUCGCAGCGGUUCUGACGUGCAAAUCGAUCGUCAAAUUUGGGUAUAGGGGCGAAAGACUAAUCGAACCAUCUAGUAGCUGGUUCCUGCGA
This 911-nucleotide ribosomal RNA is filed under the name Macrophomina phaseolina. Its description in RNAcentral is "LSU rRNA". It matches the Rfam family "Eukaryotic large subunit ribosomal RNA", at positions 36 to 963 of the family's 3401-position model. The record is from RNAcentral. Lineage: Eukaryota; Fungi; Ascomycota; Dothideomycetes; Botryosphaeriales; Botryosphaeriaceae.